GUGAUCAAGCUACUAAGUGCAUUUGGUGAAUGCCUUGGUGCCAAGAGGCGAUGAAGGACGUAGCAAGUUGCGAUAAGCCACGGGAAGCCGCAAACAGGCGUUGAUCCGUGGAUCUCCGAAUGGGACAACCCAGCCGCUUUAAUCGGCGGUUAUCGACCGGAUGAAUUCAUAGUCCGGCGAGGCAAGACGGGGCGAAGUGAAACAUCUCAGUAACCCCAGGAAAAGAAAACGAAAUGAUUCCGUCAGUAGUGGCGAGCGAAAGCGGAACAGCCCAAACCGGGAGGACUUGUCUUCCCGGGGUAGCGGGACCUCGAUAUGGGAGGCAGCGAGUUAGCGUAACGAUUUGGAAACGUCGGCCGGAGACCGUGACAGCCGGGUGCGCGAAAACUCAAAGCCCUCUAGGGGUAUCCCAAGUAGCACGGUGCACGUGAAACUCUGUGCGAAUCCGUCCGGACCACCGGAUAAGGCUAAAUACUCCUUGGCAACCGAUAGUGAACCAGUACCGCGAGGGAAAGGUGAAAAGAACCCCUGUUAGGGGAGUGAAACAGUACCUGCAACCAAAUGCAUACAAUGUGUCGGAGCCGGGCCCAUUUGGCCUCUGGCCAAAUGGAUCGUUGAGGGUUAAUGGUUGAUAGUUGAUGGGGAAGUCGCAUGCCAUCAACACUCAACGAUCAACCAUCAACUCCAUUUGAACGGAGUUCAAAUGGGCCUGGUGACGGCCUGCCUUUUGCAUAAUGAGUCUGCGAGUUAUUGUCCAUGGCGAGCCUAAGUUGCUUUGCAACGGAGGCGAAGGGAAACCGAGUGCGAAAUGCGCGACCAGUCGUGGGCAAUAGACCCGAAGCGGAGGUGAUCUACUCUUGAGCAGGUUGAAGCCUGGGUAACACCAGGUGGAGGACCGAACUCGUGGAUGUUGAAAAAUCCUGAGAUGACUUGAGAGUAGGAGCGAAAGACUAAUCAAACCCCGUGAUAGCUGGUUCUCUCCGAAAUCGCUUGAGGGCGAGUGUUGGAUAAGUACUCAAAGGAGGUAGAGCACUGGAUGGCUUAGAGUCCCCACCAGGAUAUCAAAACCAAUCAAACUCCGAAUUCCUUUGAUCCCGGUAAUCCAGCAAUCAGGCUGCGAGGGAUAAGCUUCGUAGCCGAGAGGGCAACAGCCCAGACCGACAGCUAAGGUGCCUAAAUGUGAUUAAGUGGAAAGGAUGUGACGUUGCUUAGACAGUGAGGAUGUUGGCUUAGAGGCAGCCAUCAUUUAAACAGUGCGUAAUAGCUGACUCAUCGAGCGAUGUCGCGCCGAAAAUGAUUGGCGAUCAAAUCACAUACCGAAGCUUCGGAUUGAUGAGUUCUUCGGAGUUCAUCAGUGGUAGGAGAGCGUAAUCAGCGCGGCGAAGCCGAACGGAAACGGACGGUGGAGCGCUGAUUAGUGAGAAUGCAGACACGAGUAGCGAUAAACCAGAUGAGAAUUCUGGUCGCCGUAAACCCAAGGUUUCCUGGGCCAGGUUCGUCCUCCCAGGGUUAGUCGGGAGCUAAGACGAGGCCGUAAGGCGUAGUCGAUGCACAGCAGAUUAAUAUUCCUGCACCGCCGACAUUUAACCGCCAAGAACGCAGAGAGAAAAGUGACUAUGUCAUCGAAAGACGGAGCCCAGGCUUCGGCCAAAGCGCAUCACCGGACGAUCUGCCGAGAAAAGCUGGCGGGUAUAAUAAGGUGCCCGUACCGUAAACCGACACAGGUGGGUGAGUCGAAUAGACUAAGGCGCGCGAGAGAAACCUCUCUAAGGAACUCGGCACAUUAGCCCCGUAACUUCGGGAGAAGGGGUGCCUGAAAGCGCAGCAGCGAUGUUGCGUCUUAAGGCCACAGUAAAUUGCGUUUAGCGACUGUUUAACAAAAACACAGCUCUCUGCCAAGUCGUCAAGACGACGUAUAGGGAGUGACACGUGACCAAUGCUGAAAGAUUAAGAGAUCUUGUUAGCCGCAAGGCGAAGCUCGGUCUUUAAGUCCCAGUGAAUGUCGGCCGUAACUAUAACGGUCCUAAGGUAGCGAAAUUCCUUGUCGGGUAAGUUCCGACCUGCACGAAUCGUGUAACGACUGAACGACUGUCUCGGAGAGGAUCUCGGCGAAACUGUAACGGCGGUGAAGAUGCCGCCUGCCCGCAGUAGGACGGAAAGACCCUAUGCACCUUUACUGUAAGCUGGUAUUGUGUUCUGAUUAACGAUGCGUAGCGUAGGUGGGAGACUUUGAAACGCGGGCUUCGGUUCGCGCGGAGUCGCAAUGUGAAACACCACUCUUUGCUAAUUAGGAUUCUAACCCCGACCUGUCAGCCAGGCGGGGGACAGUGCUUGCGGGUCAGUUUGACUGGGGCGGUUUCCUCCCAAAAAGUAACGGAGGAGCGCUAAGCUUGGCUCAGCACGGUUGGCAACCGUGCGGCGAGCGUAUGGGUAGAAGCCAGGUUAACUGUGAGACCAACAAGUCGAGCAGGUGCGAAAGCAGGCCCAAAUGAUCCGGUGGUUUAAUGUGGAAUUGCCAUCGCUCAACGGACAAAAGGUACGCUAGGGAUAACAGGCUGAUCGGAUCCAAGAGUUCACAUCGACGAUCCGGUUUGGCACCUCGAUGUCGGCUCGUCGCAUCCUGGGGCUGGAGAAGGUCCCAAGGGUCCGGCUGUUCGCCGGUUAAAGCGGCACGCGAGCUGGGUUCAGAACGUCGUGAGACAGUUCGGUCCUUAUCCACUGUGGGCGCAGGAGACUUGAGGGGUUCAUUCCUUAGUACGAGAGGACCGGGAAUGACGCACUUCUGGUGUGGCAGUUGUCGCGUCAGCGGCAUCGCUGCGUAGCCAUGUGCGGAAGAGAUAAGCGCUGAAAGCAUCUAAGUGCCAAGCUCCUCCCAAGAUAUGGUCUCCCGGAGCGCAAGCUCCCUAAAGACCCCCGGCAGACUACCGGGUUGAUAGGCUGGACGUGUACGAGCCGUAAGGCUUUUAGCCGACCAGUACUAAUCGGUCGUGCGGCUUGAUCGCU
Molecule: ribosomal RNA, 3003 nt
Filed under: Verrucomicrobiota bacterium
Lineage: Bacteria; Pseudomonadati; Verrucomicrobiota
Description: bacterial LSU rRNA
Rfam family: Bacterial large subunit ribosomal RNA
Source: RNAcentral